CACCGUACAUUGUUGCUCAGUCCCAUUCAAGUGAAUGGGGCCAAGCUGCAACAUCAAGCACAGCCACUAUACAAUGAACGGGGCUGUGCUUGGUAAGCUAGAGGAGGCCGCAGCCUCUUCUAACUGCUGAUUGGCGGGG
This is a long non-coding RNA of Bufo bufo (common toad), 139 nucleotides long. RefSeq lists it as uncharacterized. The transcript is spliced from 3 exons. The record is from RefSeq and is a predicted model, not a curated record. Lineage: Eukaryota; Metazoa; Chordata; Amphibia; Anura; Bufonidae.